UGUUUGGAACCUGGGAUUCAAAUGGCCUGGCAGGAAGUGCUCUAGCAGAGGGACUCUGGCCUUGCAAGAGUCCCUAUUUCCCCCUUUUUUUUUGCUUUUCACACAGUAAAACCCUGCUUUACUUCCCUUUGAGUCGUCUGUGAGCCUAAAUUUUUGUGGCUGUGGGAAGGACAAGAACCCCAUCUUUAGCUGAAAUAAGGAAAAGUUCCGCAACAUUUUUGGCACACACCCUGGGGGCUCCGGAAGUGGAAUGCUGUCGGAACUGGACCUUGAUGAAGGAAAUACUUUCUGACUCAUUGGAAUUUGUUAUAGUCAAAAUGUGCUCUUCUGAAAUCUACAGGUGUUUCCAGACCUAAGAAUAACAGGAACAUGGAGGAGUGGCAUCUCCAGUGUAGCCACCCACCAAAGCCUCAUCCUGAACACUAUGGCCUAGUGGGUCACUUACAGGGAUGUAGCUGGCAUUGAUGUAGUCAGAGCAAGGAUCAUCAUCUACAUUGGAGAGCUUCACUCGCGUGGCAUCAUCUGGAAGGAGAGAUUUGCUGCUGAGUCUUGGAGUGACUUUUCUACAGUUUAUGUGAUGUGUGUGAUGUGCCUUAGCUCUGAUCCCCACAACAGCCACAGAUGGGAAGUGAUCUUAUCUCCAUUUUGCAGAUGAGGCUCAGGCAGGAUAACUAACUUGCCCCAUGUUGCAUAGGUGGCCUAUAACCAGUCAGACACAGGAGACAACAUGAAGCCCCAUCUGUGCUUCCCUUUCUGACAUUACCACAUUUGCCUGAUGGAGUGGCCAGCUCCCUUUCACUGCUGGAAUGAAUACAAUCCAGAAAACCUACCUUCUAUUGCUUUACCUAAUGGGGUAAGGAAAUUUAAGUAGAAAUUGCUAACCGAAGACUUUGCUAAGCAAACCCAGGUCUGCUUGAUGUCAGAGCCCUUGCUGUUAACCCCAUUUACUGCUUAGCCUCCAAAGAGAAGCAAUAGCAUCACAUGGGGAAAUGUCAACAGCAUAAGAGGACUUUCAUAAUCAGAAUUUAAACUGGCUAUUAUCCCUCUGGAGGGAAGUGCAGGAAUAUACAAGCUAUUUCUUAUUAAAGGCAUUCAGAGCUUGAGAUUGUCCAUAUCGAGCUAUAUUAUAUUUCUUUAGCCUCAUUUCAUUUUUGGAGAAAAAUGCAGAAAUGGCUAGAGGAAGACAGUAUUACAAAUUUUGACACAAAACUUACAGGGCAAUAUAUUGUUGUAUCGAUUUUUCCCUCUAUUCUCCGGCAAGAGUGCAAUGUCACAUGACUGGUUUCGGCCCACGUCUUUUAACUCCUGUUAGGUCAAAUAUGAGUUUGUAAGUGGAGAAUAUGAAAUAGAAUAAAGCAAAUCAUACAGUCCUGGAGAUAACAUAAUAACAUGAAAAUAUAUACACUAGCUAUUGUUUAUGAAUGCCUAGUACUCAACAUGCAUUAGCCCUGAUCCCCACAACAGCCCCACAAGGGAGGUGGUGGUCUCACUAUUUUACAGGUGAGGCUCAGUCAGGAUAACUGAUGUGCCCCAGGUCACCCAAGUGGCAAACCUGAGAAUCAGUUCCAAAAGCUACGUGCUUUUUGCGAAACCACGGCAUCUUCCAGCCAAGCAAAUGGCCAGGCUGAAUAUCUGACAGCUUUAGGUCUGCAUUUGAGAUUUGUUAAUUCUUCCUUACUAUCUGAUCCAGGUAGCCCUUGGUUUGCUGUGUUAUUCUGGAGCUCAAGCUGGCCUCUAAGAUUAGAUGGUAUAUUCUAUUCAGGGCAUAGUUUAGGCAUAAAAGAGUGCUCAGCUGAGAUUCUAAGCAGCCUCCUAACUUCUGAGCUCAAUCAGCCUAUGAUGACACAGUAAACAUUAGGAAGGAAAUUCUGCUAAGAACUAGGGAUGCUGAAGCUUCAUUCUGCCUGAGUUGUACCUCGUAUUCCUUGGAUAGAAGGUAGUUGGAGUCAGCCUGUAGCUUCAUGAAAUGCCCUUCAAACUGAUUUAUUUUUAUUGGACUGUAAUUAAAAAUGAAACAAACAGAAAAGAGUUACUGCAGAAAAGGGAAAGUGCCAUAACUAUUCUGACUCAUAUUUCAAAGGCAGAUAAUAUAGUAAUUAAUGUGUUCUCUCUCUUACCAAGAAGUUUUCCGGUUACUGUGAAGAGAAGCCAAAAGAGGAAGACUUUGUUAGCAAAUUUCACAUAAUACCAUCUUUCAACAAAUUAUACGAAGGCAAAUGUGGUGCUUACCCUUUCUGGCCCAGGUUUAAGUGGACAGAUAAUGGUCGAUCCCUACGAAUGCUCAGACGGGCAGAGGGUCUUUCUCGACCAUGGCUGAAACAUAAGGGAGAUAACUUUUAUUCUGAUUAUGAUACUUGGCUUGAACAAAUUUUUCCAUUUAUGGUAAGGCUGUGGAUGUUUGUGCAAAUAUGGAUUUUUCAGUAUUCAUACAGAUUUGCACUCAGCCAACAUCUCUGAGGGAGGGAAAGGAAAGAGAAUAAAGUAGAUCAUUCCCACCCAGAAACGGAUCUCUGCAAAAACUGAAGAUUUGUCUCCUGGUUUUUGGCUACAGGUUAUAAUCACUUCCCACAUUCUCAAUAAAACUUUGCUUUAAAAAAAUCCAGUAAAUUUCAGAUGCCAGACACGACUUCAAUAAAGAGGAACAUGUGCCAAAUUAAGAAAAAAAAUUCACUAAGAGAAGAAGGCACGACACUUGGGGCCACAUGCUAUUUGGUUCUUUUUGGUCCCUUCUUAAAUUAGGAUGGCAGAUAUGAACUACAAAAUGGUGAUGUCAACCACACUUUUCAGGAUAUUUCAGAAAAGCACUUGGGCAUGCAAUUUGCAAACAUCUCUGUCUUCAUGAGGAUAUGAACCACACACACACACAAAAUAUUUUUUUCCUGUGCAAAAGGAGUCACUUCAUCUUUAAAUAAAGCUAUAGAUGGCCCCUCAGUCCUUUGGUAAGGGCUGAAUUCAUCAAUGGGAUAUAAAAGAGCUGAGAAAAGUGAGUCAUGGCUUUAGAGUUUGACUUGUUUUUAUUGAGAAAACAGUGACAAUUUAACCUGGAAAAAUUAAAUUAUUUUCCCUUCUUAGUUUUCAGCCUAAAGGGAAUUUUCAGUUGCAUUUUUAAAGUUGUGGGUCCAAUCACCAAAAGGAUCUUUGUACUUACCUCACUUUCUGUCUGCAGAUCAAUAAGGCAACAACAGCCACUAGCAUGCCAAUUAAAAACAGACCAGCACUCACACCUUCAAUAGCUCCAAACAAGGGCUCUACAAUAAUCCAGAUAGAAACAACAAACGCAGGUGGGAAAAUUAGUGCUAGGGAACCAGUAAGAAAGCUAUUGAAGCCAUAUCUCCCAAGUAAUGUUAUUACAAAUAGAAUUCAAGUGAUGCCCACGAUGAGGCAUUUACUUUCCAAAGGCUCUGAGUAUGCACCUAAGAAGAUGAUGAAAGGCUGGCUCCCACCCUGUAGCAGUGAGGCCAGGUGUCACUGCAUACUUUUGAAGUUAAUGUUGCAUAGCUUAUAGAGGAAUUUUGGACUUUGCACUUGUAUAUAAAGCUUGGGGCACCUGAGAUAAAGGCCAUAAGUUUGCCACCAAGAUAAAAAUGCCAUUUCAUUUAUAUAAAACAUGUUACACAGCAUCUGGGGCUUUGGAAAAUCCAGUGGAUUGCUUGGAGCUAUUCUAAGAAGUCUUAUUUUUAUUAUCUGGUAUGGUAACGCUACUGGGAGUUUAUGAAGAGGUAAGAGUGGCCUCAUUUUUAAAAUAGCUUUAUUGAAAUAUCAUUCAUAUAGCAUGCAACUCACCCAUCUAAGUUGUACAAUUCAGUGGUCUUUAGUAUAGUCAAAGUUUUGCAAAUGUCACCACAAUCAAUUUUAAAACAUUUUCAUCACCCUCAAAAGAAACCGCGUACCUAUUAGCAGUCAGUCCCACUCCUCCCUCCCCGCGAUCCCUGGCAACCACUAAUCUACUUUCUGUGUCUGUGGAUUUGCCUAUUCUGGAUGUUUCAUAGAAAUGAAAUCAUAAAUCUGUGAUCUUUUGGGACUGGCUCCUUUCAUUUAGCAUAAUGUUUUCAAGGUUCAUCCAUGUUAUAGCAUAUACCAAGAUUUCAUUCCUUUUUAUGGUUGAAUAAUCGUCCAUUGUAUGGAUAUAUCACAUUUUGUUUAUCCAUUGAUGGACAUUUAAAUUGCUUCUACUUUUUGGCGAUUAUGAAUAAUGCUGCUAUGAACAUUCAUGUACAAGUUUCUAUGUGGACAUAUGUUUUCAUUUCUCCUGGGUAUAUACUGAGGAGUGAAAUUGCUGGGUCGUAUGGUAACUCUAGGUUUAAUAUUUCUAUAAACUGUUUUUCAAAGCAGUGACACCAUUUUACAUUCUCAUAAGCAGUGUAUGGAAGGUUCUGAUUUCUUCAUAUCCUCACUAACUCUUGUUACUGUCUUUUUGAUUAUAGCCAUGCUACUGGGUGUGAAGUGGUAUCUUCUUGUGAUUUUGAUUUGCAUUUCCCUAAUGAUUCAUGAUGUUGAGCAUCUUUUCAUGUGCUUAUUAGUCAACUGUAUAUCUUCUUUGGAGACAUGUCUAUUCAGAGCCUUUGCCCAUUUAAAUAUUGUGUAAUUUGGCUGGGCACGGUGGCUCAUACCUGUAAUCCCAGCAUUUUGGGAGGCUGAGGCAGGCAGAUCACGAAGCCAGGAGUUCGAGACCAGCCUGGCCAACAUGGUGAAACCUUGUCUCUACUAAAAAUACAAAAAUUAGCCGGGUGUGGUGGCGCAUGCCUGUAGUCCCAGCUACUGGGGAGGCUGAGGCAGGAGAAUUGCUUGAAUUUGGGAGGUGGAGGUUGCAUUGAGCCAAGGUGGCAUCACCGCACUACAGCCUGGGUGACAGAGCAAGACUCCGUCUUGAAAAAAAAAAAAUAUAUAUAUAUAUAUGGCCUGGCGUGGUGGCUUACGCCUGUAAUCCCAGCACUUUGGGAGGCCGAGACAGGUGGAUCACAAGGUCAGGAGAUCGAGAACAUCCUGGCCAACACGUGAAACCCUGUCUCUACUAAAAAUAUAAAAAAAUUAGCCAGGCGUGGUGGCGGGCGCCUGUAGUCCCUGCUACUUAGGAGGCUGAGGCAGGAGAAUGGCGUGAACCUGGGAGGCGGAGCUUGCAGCGAGCCGAGAUCGCACCACUGCACUCCAGCCUGGGCGACAGAGCGAGACUUUCUCAAAAAAAAGGAAAAAAAAAAAGGAAAAAAAUAUAUAUAUUACACUAUAUAUAUAGUGUAAUUUGUGUUUUUAUUAUUAAAUUGUGAGGUAAGAGUUCUUUAUAUGCUAUUCAGCCCUUAUCAGAUAUGUGAUUUGGAAAAUAAAUAUUUUCUUCCU
This 5331-nucleotide long non-coding RNA is filed under the name Homo sapiens (human). Its description in RNAcentral is "PREDICTED lncRNA (TCONS_00056276)". Lineage: Eukaryota; Metazoa; Chordata; Mammalia; Primates; Hominidae. The record is from RNAcentral.